UACAGAGGGUGCGAGCGUUAAUCGGAAUUACUGGGCGUAAAGCGCGCGUAGACGGUUUUGUAAGUCAGAUGUGAAAUCCCUGGGCUCAACCUGGGAACUGCAUUUGUGACUGGCAAGCUAGAGUAUGGCAGAGGGGGGUAGAAUUCCACGUGUAGCAGUGAAAUGCGUAGAGAUGUGGAGGAAUACCGAUGGCGAAGGCAGCCCCCUGGGCCAAUACUGACGCUCAUGCACGAAAGCGUGGGGAGCAAACAGG
This 253-nucleotide ribosomal RNA is filed under the name uncultured bacterium. RNAcentral describes it as "partial 16S ribosomal RNA". It matches the Rfam family "Bacterial small subunit ribosomal RNA", at positions 524 to 776 of the family's 1533-position model. The record is from RNAcentral.